This 397-nucleotide long non-coding RNA is filed under the name Hordeum vulgare. RNAcentral's name for it is "long non-coding RNA (HVUL_LNC011386)". The record is from RNAcentral. Lineage: Eukaryota; Viridiplantae; Streptophyta; Magnoliopsida; Poales; Poaceae.
UCUAUGUAUCCACACAUGUAUAUAAGUCUUCAUUCAAUACAAUUAUAGCAUGGAUAAUAAACGAUUAUCUUGAUACAGGAAUUAUAAUAAUAACUAUAUUUAUUAUUGCCUCUAGGGCAUAAUUCCAACAUCUUCUGGUUGUAUUCUUCUCUUCUCUCAUCGGACAUUCGUGCAUACCAACUCAGAGCACCCUUAUUAAUUUGAUCCCGCUGAGCUAUAUGUUGGCAUCGCCUUUUCUGUUUUUUGUCUGAUGCAAUGACUGCGCUUGAAGCAAGUUGUUGAGGACCAGCGUGUGAGGUGUUGAGCGUUGGUGCUAUAUAUGAAACAAUAUCAUGCUCAGCGGUGCUACGUGUUCCUCCAAGUGAUGCAUGAUGAUCAUUGUAGCUGGCUUCACGAG